This 253-nucleotide ribosomal RNA is filed under the name uncultured bacterium. RNAcentral's name for it is "partial 16S ribosomal RNA". It matches the Rfam family "Bacterial small subunit ribosomal RNA", at positions 524 to 776 of the family's 1533-position model. The record is from RNAcentral.
UACAGAGGUCUCAAGCGUUGUUCGGAUUCAUUGGGCGUAAAGGGUGCGUAGGCGGCGCGGUAAGUCGGGUGUGAAAUCUCGGAGCUUAACUCCGAAACUGCAUUCGAUACUGCCGUGCUUGAGGACUGGAGAGGAGACUGGAAUUCCUGGUGUAGCGGUGGAAUGCGCAGAUAUCGGGAGGAACACCCGUAGCGAAGGCGGCACUCUGGGCCGGUACUGACGCUGAGGAGCGAAAGCGUGGGGAGCAAACAGG